This is a long non-coding RNA of Homo sapiens (human), 590 nucleotides long. RefSeq lists it as uncharacterized. The record is from RefSeq and is marked validated. NCBI's taxonomy places the organism in Eukaryota, Metazoa, Chordata, Mammalia, Primates, Hominidae. The transcript has 3 exons.
AGCUGAGGCACAUGCCUUGGGAGCUAAGUGGUUGCUGCCCUUGACCACUAUGAAGACCGGUGUGGGAAUGUGGGAAGGGUCGCUUUGGAUGCACUUGAGCAGGGGUCCCCAACCCCUGAGCCAUGGAGCCGUAAGGAGCCACACAGCAGGAGGUGGGACCAUCCAGUUGCAGGAAAACAAGCUUAACACGCCCACUGAUUCUACAUUAUGCUCCUACCUCCCAGCAGCCUCUCCAGGCCCAGAACUUUCUCCAGUCAGCCUCUACAGACCAAGCUCAUGACUCACAAUGGCCUAUUUAGGCCCAUACCCUACCUCACGGCAGUCUCCGCAGAUGAGCCUACUGCCUCACAACAGCCUCCACAGGCACAGCUCCAUCGUUACAAUGGCCUCUUUAGACCCAGCUCCUGCCUCCCAGCCUUCUCUCCAGGCCCUGAACUUUCUCAAGUCGACCUCACCAGGCCCAGCUCAUGCUUCUUUGCAGCCUCUCCAGGCCCAGCUCCUGCAUCUUGGUGGCACCUCCAGGCCCAGCCUCUGCCUCCCGUCGGCCUCUACAAUCCCAACAUCUGCCUCACAGCAGAUUCUUCAGGCCC